AGAGGGAUAGCUGGGUCGAAUGGUGGUUCCAUUCCAAGUUUUCUAAGGAAUAUUCAUAUUGCUUUCCAUAGUGGUUGCACCACUUUGCAGUCCCACAAGCAAU
This 103-nucleotide microRNA precursor is filed under the name Marmota monax (woodchuck). Lineage: Eukaryota; Metazoa; Chordata; Mammalia; Rodentia; Sciuridae. The record is from RNAcentral.